Molecule: ribosomal RNA, 174 nt
Filed under: uncultured archaeon
Lineage: Archaea
Description: partial 16S rRNA
Rfam family: Archaeal small subunit ribosomal RNA
Source: RNAcentral
CCCAAGUGCCACUCUUAACGGGGUGGUUUUUCUGAAGUGUAAAAAGCUUCAGGAAUAAGAGCUGGGCAAGACCGGUGCCAGCCGCCGCGGUAACACCGGCAGCUCGAGUGGUGGCCGUUUUUAUUGGGCCUAAAGCGUUCGUAGCCGGCCUGAUAAGUCUCUGGUGAAAUCCCA